CCCAGACAGCCAGGAUGUUGGCUUAGAAGCAGCCAUCAUUUAAAGAAAGCGUAAUAGCUCACUGGUCGAGUCGGCCUGCGCGGAAGAUGUAACGGGGCUAAACCAUGCACCGAAGCUGCGGCAGCGAACGUAUCACUUAAAGCGAUUCAGCGGGUUACGAUUGACGGAGCGAAGCGACGUCAAAGCGUAUACAAAGUCGAGUCGGUUUAAGGAUACGUUCGUUGGGUAGGGGAGCGUUCUGUAAGCCCGUGAAGGUGGCCUGUGAGGGUUGCUGGAGGUAUCAGAAGUGCGAAUGCUGACAUAAGUAACGAUAAAGCGGGUGAAAAGCCCGCUCGCCGGAAGACCAAGGGUUCCUGUCCAACGUUAAUCGGGGCAGGGUGAGUCGACCCCUAAGGCGAGGCCGAAAGGCGUAGUCGAUGGGAAACGGGUUAAUAUUCCCGUACUUGGUGUUACUGCGAAGGGGGGACGGAGAAGGCUAUGUUGGCCGGGCGACGGUUGUCCCGGUUUAAGCGUGUAGGUGUGUGUUCCAGGUAAAUCCGGUUCACUUUAACACUGAGGCGUGACGACGAGGCACUACGGUGCUGAAGCAACAAAUGCCCUGCUUCCAGGAAAAGCCUCUAAGCAUCAGGUAACACGAAAUCGUACCCCAAACCGACACAGGUGGUCAGGUAGAGAAUACCAAGGCGCUUGAGAGAACUCGGGUGAAGGAACUAGGCAAAAUGGUGCCGUAACUUCGGGAGAAGGCACGCUGACACGUAGGUGA
This 763-nucleotide ribosomal RNA is filed under the name Salmonella enterica. RNAcentral describes it as "partial 23S ribosomal RNA". It matches the Rfam family "Bacterial large subunit ribosomal RNA", at positions 1084 to 1765 of the family's 2925-position model. The record is from RNAcentral. RNAcentral also lists the same sequence under 13 other names. Lineage: Bacteria; Pseudomonadati; Pseudomonadota; Gammaproteobacteria; Enterobacterales; Enterobacteriaceae.